This 468-nucleotide ribosomal RNA is filed under the name uncultured bacterium. RNAcentral's name for it is "partial 16S ribosomal RNA". It matches the Rfam family "Bacterial small subunit ribosomal RNA", at positions 28 to 507 of the family's 1533-position model. The record is from RNAcentral.
GACGAACGCUGGCGGCGUGCUUAACACAUGCAAGUCGAACGGAAAGGCCCUGCUUUUGUGGGGUGCUCGAGUGGCGAACGGGUGAGUAACACGUGAGUAACCUGCCCUUGACUUUGGGAUAACUUCAGGAAACUGGGGCUAAUACCGGAUAGGAGCUCCUGCUGCAUGGUGGGGGUUGGAAAGUUUCGGCGGUUGGGGAUGGACUCGCGGCUUAUCAGCUUGUUGGUGGGGUAGUGGCUUACCAAGGCUUUGACGGGUAGCCGGCAUGAGAGGGUGACCGGCGACAUUGGGACUGAGAGACGGAGCAGACUCCUACGGGAGGCAGCAGUGGAGAGUAUUGCACAGUGGGCGGAAGCGUGAUGCAGCAACGCCGCGUGCGGGAUGACGGCCUUCGGGGUGUAAACCGCUUUCGCCUGUGACGAAGCGUUAGUGACGGUAAUGGGUAAAGAAGCACCGGCUAACUACGUG